RNAcentral lists this ribosomal RNA (441 nucleotides) under Fidelibacterota bacterium. RNAcentral describes it as "bacterial SSU rRNA". It matches the Rfam family "Bacterial small subunit ribosomal RNA", at positions 1101 to 1533 of the family's 1533-position model. The record is from RNAcentral. Lineage: Bacteria; Pseudomonadati; Fidelibacterota.
ACCCUUGUUUUUAGUUACCAGCGGGUUAUGCCGGGUACUCUAGAAAGACUGCCGUCGUCAAGACGGAGGAAGGUGGGGAUGACGUCAAGUCAUCAUGGCCCUUAUGCCCCGGGCUGCACACGUGCUACAAUGGUCGGUACAAACGGAAGCGAAGCCGAGAGGUGGAGCGAAUCCUAAAAAGCCGAUCUCAGUUCGGAUUGGAGGCUGAAAUUCGCCUCUAUGAAGUUGGAAUCGCUAGUAAUCGCGGAUCAGCAUUGCCGCGGUGAAUAUGUUCCCGAGCCUUGUACACACCGCCCGUCAAGCCACCCAAGCAGGAUGCACCCGAAAACAUUAUAUCUAACCAGGCUUGCCUGGAGGAAAGUGUUGAAGGAGUGUUUUGUGAGGAGGACUAAGUCGUAACAAGGUAGUCGUAGGAGAACCUGCGGCUGGAUCACCUCCUUU